GAUGAACGCUGGCGGCGUGCCUAAUACAUGCAAGUCGAGCGAACAGACGAGGAGCUUGCUCCUCUGACGUUAGCGGCGGACGGGUGAGUAACACGUGGAUAACCUACCUAUAAGACUGGGAUAACUUCGGGAAACCGGAGCUAAUACCGGAUAAUAUAUUGAACCGCAUGGUUCAAUAGUGAAAGACGGUUUUGCUGUCACUUAUAGAUGGAUCCGCGCCGCAUUAGCUAGUUGGUAAGGUAACGGCUUACCAAGGCAACGAUGCGUAGCCGACCUGAGAGGGUGGCCGCCACCACGGAAACUGAAACCGGGACAACACUCCGGGGGGGGGAGGGAGAGGGGAAUAUUCAGAAAGGGGGGAAGGCUGGCAGGAGCAAGGCGGGGUGAUGAAUAAAGUUUUUGGAAUCGAAAAACUUUUUUAUUGGGAAAAAAAAAAUGGGAAGGAAACUAUCCACGUCUUAACGGUACCAAAUAAAAAAGCCACGGCUAACUACGUC
RNAcentral lists this ribosomal RNA (497 nucleotides) under uncultured bacterium. RNAcentral's name for it is "partial 16S ribosomal RNA". It matches the Rfam family "Bacterial small subunit ribosomal RNA", at positions 28 to 507 of the family's 1533-position model. The record is from RNAcentral.